This 433-nucleotide ribosomal RNA is filed under the name uncultured bacterium. Its description in RNAcentral is "partial 16S ribosomal RNA". It matches the Rfam family "Bacterial small subunit ribosomal RNA", at positions 29 to 507 of the family's 1533-position model. The record is from RNAcentral.
AACGAACGCUGGCGGCAUGCCUAACACAUGCAAGUCGAACGAUGCUUUCGGGCUUAGUUGCGCACGGGUGCGUAACGCGUGGGAAUCUGCCCGUGGGUUCGGUAUAACAGUGAGAAAUUGCUGCUAAUACCGGAUGAUGUCUUCGGACCAAAGAUUUAUCGCUCAGGGAUGAGCCCGCGUAGGAUUAGGUAGUUGGUGGGGUAGUGGCCUACCAAGGCGACGAUGCUUAGCUGGUCUGAGAGGAUGACCAGCCACACUGGGAAUGAGACACGGCCCAGACUCGUACGGGGGGGAGCAGUGGGGAACAUUGGACGCUGGGCGCAAGCCUGAUACAGCAAUGCCGGGUGAGUGAUGAAGGCCUUAGGGUUGUAAAGCUCUUUUACCCGGGAUGAUAAUGACAGUACCGGGUGAAUAAGCACCGGCUAACUACGUG